RNAcentral lists this ribosomal RNA (439 nucleotides) under uncultured bacterium. RNAcentral's name for it is "partial 16S ribosomal RNA". It matches the Rfam family "Bacterial small subunit ribosomal RNA", at positions 339 to 795 of the family's 1533-position model. The record is from RNAcentral.
CUACGGGUUGCAGCAGUGAGGAAUAUUGCACAAUGGAGGAAACUCUGAUGCAGCAACGCCGCGUGGAGGAUGACGCAUUUCGGUGUGUAAACUCCUUUUAUAUGUCAAGAAAAUGACGGUAGCAUAUGAAUAAGCACCGGCUAACUCCGCGCCAGCAGCCGCGGUAAUACGGAGGGUGCAAGCGUUACUCGGAAUCACUGGGCGUAAAGGACGCGUAGGCGUGAUAUCAAGUCAGGUGUGAAAUCCUACAGCUUAACUGUAGAACUGCACUUGAAACUGGUAACCUAGAGUAUGGGAGGGGGAGAUGGAAUUAGUGGUGUAGGGGUAAAAUCCGUAGAUAUCACUAGGAAUACCUAAAGCGAAGGCGAUCUCCUGGAACAUAACUGACGCUAAGGCGUGAAAGCGUGGGGAGCAAACAGGAUUAGAUACCCUAGUAGUC